Molecule: non-coding RNA, 93 nt
Organism: Microdochium trichocladiopsis
Lineage: Eukaryota; Fungi; Ascomycota; Sordariomycetes; Xylariales; Microdochiaceae
Source: the annotation of a RefSeq genome assembly
GCCUCGGUAGCUCAGUGGUAGAGCGUGGGAUUGCAGUUUCAAACGAAUAUGCAAUUCAUCCUAAGGUCCUGCGUUCGACUCGCAGUCUGGGCU